UUUAACUGAAGAGUUUGAUCAUGGCUCAGAUUGAACGCUGGCGGCAGGCUUAACACAUGCAAGUCGAGCGGGGGAAGGUAGCUUGCUACUGGACCUAGCGGCGGACGGGUGAGUAAUGCUUAGGU
Molecule: ribosomal RNA, 125 nt
Filed under: Acinetobacter baumannii
Lineage: Bacteria; Pseudomonadati; Pseudomonadota; Gammaproteobacteria; Moraxellales; Moraxellaceae
Description: partial 16S ribosomal RNA
Rfam family: Bacterial small subunit ribosomal RNA
Source: RNAcentral